Molecule: non-coding RNA, 2642 nt
Organism: Danio rerio (zebrafish)
Lineage: Eukaryota; Metazoa; Chordata; Actinopteri; Cypriniformes; Danionidae
Source: RefSeq, a predicted model, not a curated record
UUCUGCUUUCCUGUCAAUAAUCUCCACAAUAUUCUCCUAUGACGUUAAAAAAGGGUAAACCUCCAAAAAAAAGAAAUACAGCAUAGGCUCAUUCUAAAAAUGUAGCCCUAUAUACAUUUCUGGAGAUCGCGAAUUAUGUAGGAAUGCAUGCCUGCAUUACAUCUUUAAGACGAACAUUAUACGGGGCAGUAUGACGCCGUUCCUUUUUGACAAUACCAACUGUAACAAAUGAGAUAUUUUUUGUUUUUCUUCUGUUGCGCUCAACAAACAACCAAAUGAACAGAGAAGGGUCUCAUGACCUUAGGGUUAACUUCACACCUUUCUCCAAAUUUCAGGAGGUAAAAUAUUGACACUUAAGCAUGACCAAAUAACCAGAGAAGGGUCUCCGGACCUUAAGGUUAACUUUCUCCAAAUUUCAGGAGGUAGAAUAUUGACUCUAGAUAAUCAUGCUGACAAUACAAACCUCAAAUUAGUGCUUUACAAUCAGAAAUAAUGUGCAACUAGCUGAGAGAGGAGGUGGGCCUGAUCAACUCACACUUCUCUCUUACCUAUGAGGCCAACCUUUGGCUAGCACCCAAAUAUUGACUAUAAAGAUGAGGGUUUCUUGCUGAAACAUUGAAAGCUCAGCCGUGGGAUAAGCGCGCAUCGCCCGGCAUUCUCGGACACACGUGCUGGUUUUCCAAUGUGACUGCAACGGGCUCCCCAGUCUUUGAAGAGGAAAAUGAUGGCACGUCUCUGAGGAAUCUCUGGAGAACAGACUUACUGGUGGCUACCAGAGGAGAAAGGAACAAACGUAGUCCAAUCUACCGUUGGCUAGCUAGAUCUACGUUUUGCAUACAAGGAGAAGCUUCACUGGAUGAUCGCAGACACAUCUGCUCAAGCUGAGAAGAACAAGAGGAGCAAACUUUGCUUUGAACACAACAUCGUUUGGCAGAGUCUGAGGAGGCUGUCUGAUCAUCAACCUCUGAUAGUGAUGCGAUACCAUUGUGUCCAGCAGUGCGAAUGUUGGUGGCAGGAAAACAGCUACCAACAAAACUAGUGGAUCCUGGUGAAAACUGCAGUUGUCCCUCUGGGCUAAGAAGUCAAAGUCCUCUCGAGUCAAGGAAAAGUUGAAUACAUGUGGUCAACAUGCAUGUCUACAACAGUUCAAGCUAUCUUAAUUAGAUUUGCAGAUUUUGUUUUGUGUAAAAAUAAUGUAAUGAUUUACGUUGGUGUGAUUGGUCAUUGUGGAUGAAUUGGACAAAAUGUAACAAUGUAAAGUUAGCAUGUUGUUUGCAAAAAUUCAACUGCUUGGAGAGAAUUAUGGAACAUCAGUAAGGGAUAUUGUUUUAAGUUAAGUGCCCACAGUAUUGUUUUCAACAAUACUGUGUGUUAUAGGAAUUGGGAACAAUUCAAUGUAACCGGAGCUGUUACACUAUUUAAAUAUUAUGUUUUAUAUUAGCCUAAGUUAAGUACCCACAGUACUUUUUGCAAUGAUACUGUGUGCUAUGGAAAGUUGGAACAAUUCAAUGUAAACAGAGCUGUCACAAUAUGUUUUUUACCAUGCACUUCCUAUCAUAACUGAAGGAUAUUAUUGGAUCAUGCAUUUAAAUGGUGAUUGUUUAAAUCCUUAUGAUAAUCGAAGUUAUGAUAUGUCUGGUUGUGAUAAAACUGAAAAGGGAAUGCUCUGUUUCCUGCAAACAGGACAUUGCAAUCAAUGUUUGACUUCUGGAACUAGUGCAUAUGAUUUACAUUUACAUUUACAUUUACAUUUAGUCAUUUAGCUCAAUUGCAAUGGGAGAUUUUAAGUCUACUGCUUAACUGGUUGUAUCCAACCUAUAAUGGAUUGGUUUAAUACACAUGUUUCUGCUACGUUAGAAAGAUGUGCCUGAAGUAUGUUCGAAGUUUGGUUCUUCGUUGAGCGAGGGACCGAGUGUAACAAAUUAUAUAUUUUUUGUUUUUCUUCUGUUGCGCUCAACAAACAACCAAAUGAACAGAGAAGGGUCUCAUGACCUUAGGGUUAACUUCACACCUUUCUUCAAAUUUCAGGAGGUAAAAUAUUGACACUUAAGCAUGACCAAAUAACCAGAGAAGGGUCUCCGGACCUUAAGGUUAACUUUCUCCAAAUUUCAGGAGGUAGAAUAUUGACUCUAGAUAAUCAUGCUGACAAUACAAACCUCAAAUUAGUGCUUUACAAUCAGAAAUAAUGUGCAACUAGCUGAGAGAGGAGGUGGGCCUGAUCAACUCACACUUCUCUCUUACCUAUGAGGCCAACCUUUGGCUAGCACCCAAAUAUUGACUAUAAAGAUGAGGGUUUCUUGCUGAAACAUUGGAAGCUCAGCCGUGGGAUAAGCGCGCAUCGCCCGGCAUUCUCGGACAUACGUGUUGGUUUUCCAAUGUGACUGCAACGGGCUCCCCAGUCUUUGAAGAGGAAAAUGAUGGCACGUCUCUGAGGUUGUAUAUACUUGUAUCAAAUUGCUUGAAGUUUUCAUUAUCUGUCUUUUAUUCAUGUAAUCUCAUCUUUAUUUCGCAUUAUAAGCCUUUUAUGCAAUUUUGUUGUAUUUUGAUUAAUGAUGUUCAUGAGUAUGAUUGAUGAUUAUUGAAUAUUAUUGUGAUAAUUGAUAUCAGCUGUGUGUACCAGCAAUAAACAGUUGUAUUGCUUG